RNAcentral lists this ribosomal RNA (443 nucleotides) under uncultured bacterium. Its description in RNAcentral is "partial 16S ribosomal RNA". It matches the Rfam family "Bacterial small subunit ribosomal RNA", at positions 338 to 795 of the family's 1533-position model. The record is from RNAcentral.
CCUACGGGAGGCUGCAGUGGGGAAUAUUGGGCCAUGGGCGCAAGCCUGACCCAGCCACGCCGCGUGAAUGAAGAAGGCUCUCGGGUUGUAAACUUCUUUUAUCAGGGACGAAGCCAGUUACGGUACCUGAUGAAUAAGCCACGGCUAACUACGUGCCAGCAGCCGCGGUAAUACGUAGGUGGCAAGCGUUAUCCGGAUUUACUGGGUGUAAAGGGCGUGUAGGCGGGAAAGCAGGUCAGAUGUGAAAAGCAUGGGCUCAACCUGUGGCUUGCAUUUGAAACUGUUUUUCUUGAGUACUGGAGAGGCAGACGGAAUUCCUAGUGUAGCGGUGAAAUGCGUAGAUAUUAGGAGGAACACCAGUGGCGAAGGCGGUCUGCUGGACAGCAACUGACGCUGAGGCGCGAAAGCGUGGGGAGCAAACAGGAUUAGAUACCCCGGUAGUC